CAGGACGAACGCUGGCGGCGUGCCUAAUACAUGCAAGUCGAACGGUCUUUCUAUGGAAGCUUGCUUCCACUGAGAAGAUAGUGGCGAACGGGUGAGUAACACGUGGGUAACCUGCCCAUAAGAGGGGGGAUAACAUCCGGAAACGGGUGCUAAUACCGCAUAGUUUUCUUGAUCGCAUGAUCGGGAAAGGAAAGACGGCCUUUGUGCUGUCGCUUAUGGAUGGACCCGCGGCGUAUUAGUUAGUUGGUGAGGUAACGGCUCACCAAGACGAUGAUACGUAGCCGACCUGAGAGGGUGAUCGGCCACAUUGGGACUGAGACACGGCCCAAACUCCUACGGGAGGCAGCAGUAGGGAAUCUUCCGCAAUGGACGAAAGUCUGACGGAGCAACGCCGCGUGAGUGAAGAAAGGGUUUUCGGAUCGUAAAACUCUGUUGUCAGAGAAGAACAAGUUGGAGAGUAACUGCUCCAGCCUUGACGGUAUCUGACCAGAAAGCCACGGCUAACUACGUGCCAGCCGCUGC
Molecule: ribosomal RNA, 522 nt
Filed under: uncultured bacterium
Lineage: Bacteria
Description: bacterial SSU rRNA
Rfam family: Bacterial small subunit ribosomal RNA
Source: RNAcentral